RNAcentral lists this ribosomal RNA (789 nucleotides) under actinobacterium KV-546. RNAcentral's name for it is "bacterial SSU rRNA". It matches the Rfam family "Bacterial small subunit ribosomal RNA", at positions 86 to 887 of the family's 1533-position model. Lineage: Bacteria; Bacillati; Actinomycetota; Actinomycetes. The record is from RNAcentral.
CGGGGAUUAGUGGCGAACGGGUGAGUAACACGUGAGUAACCUGCCCUUGACUCUGGGAUAAGCCUGGGAAACUGGGUCUAAUACCGGAUACGACCAUCUGACGCAUGUCAUGGUGGUGGAAAGCUUUUGCGGUUUUGGAUGGACUCGCGGCCUAUCAGCUUGUUGGUGGGGUAAUGGCCUACCAAGGCGACGACGGGUAGCCGGCCUGAGAGGGUGACCGGCCACACUGGGACUGAGACACGGCCCAGACUCCUACGGGAGGCAGCAGUGGGGAAUAUUGCACAAUGGGCGGAAGCCUGAUGCAGCGACGCCGCGUGAGGGAUGACGGCCUUCGGGUUGUAAACCUCUUUCAGUAGGGAAGAAGCGAAAGUGACGGUACCUGCAGAAGAAGCGCCGGCUAACUACGUGCCAGCAGCCGCGGUAAUACGUAGGGCGCAAGCGUUAUCCGGAAUUAUUGGGCGUAAAGAGCUCGUAGGCGGUUUGUCGCGUCUGCUGUGAAAGACCGGGGCUCAACUCCGGUUCUGCAGUGGGUACGGGCAGACUAGAGUGAUGUAGGGGAGACUGGAAUUCCUGGUNUAGCGGUGAAAUGCGCAGAUAUCAGGAGGAACACCGAUGGCGAAGGCAGGUCUCUGGGCAUUAACUGACGCUGAGGAGCGAAAGCAUGGGGAGCGAACAGGAUUAGAUACCCUGGUAGUCCAUGCCGUAAACGUUGGGCACUAGGUNUGGGGGACAUUCCACGUUUUCCGCGCCGUAGCUCACGCAUUAAGUGCCCCGCCUGGGAGUACGGCC